RNAcentral lists this transfer RNA (68 nucleotides) under Ictidomys tridecemlineatus (thirteen-lined ground squirrel). Its description in RNAcentral is "Spermophilus tridecemlineatus (thirteen-lined ground squirrel) tRNA". It matches the Rfam family "tRNA". Rfam says of the family: Transfer RNA (tRNA) molecules are approximately 80 nucleotides in length. Their secondary structure includes four short double-helical elements and three loops (D, anti-codon, and T loops). Further hydrogen bonds mediate the characteristic L-shaped molecular structure. tRNAs have two regions of fundamental functional importance: the anti-codon, which is responsible for specific mRNA codon recognition, and the 3' end, to which the tRNAs corresponding amino acid is attached (by aminoacyl-tRNA synthetases). tRNAs cope with the degeneracy of the genetic code in two manners: having more than one tRNA (with a specific anti-codon) for a particular amino acid; and 'wobble' base-pairing, i.e. permitting non-standard base-pairing at the 3rd anti-codon position. The record is from Rfam by way of RNAcentral. Lineage: Eukaryota; Metazoa; Chordata; Mammalia; Rodentia; Sciuridae.
GGGGUUGUAGCUCAGUGGUAGAGCACUCACCUCGCACCUGUGAAGUACUGGUUUGAUCCUCAGCACCA